GACGAACGCUGGCGGCGUGCCUAAUACAUGCAAGUCGAACGCUUCUUUUUCCACCGGAGCUUGCUCCACCGGAAAAAGAGGAGUUGCGAACGGGUGAGUAACACGUGGGUAACCUGCCCAUCAGAAGGGGAUAACACUUGGAAACAGGUGCUAAUACCGUAUAACAAUCAAAACCGCAUGGUUUUGAUUUGAAAGGCGCUUUCGGGUGUCGCUGAUGGAUGGCUCCGCGGUGCAUUAGCUAGUUGGUGAGGUAACGGCUCACCAAGGCCACGAUGCAUAGCCGACCUGAGAGGGUGAUCGGCCACAUUGGGACUGAGACACGGCCCAAACUCCUACGGGAGGCAGCAGUAGGGAAUCUUCGGCAAUGGACGAAGGUCUGACCGAGCAACGCCGCGUGAGUGAAGAAGGUUUUCGGAUCGUAAAACUCUGUUGUUAGAGAAGAACAAGGGUGAGAGUAACUGUUCAUCCCUUGACGGUAUCUAACCAGAAAGCCACGGCUAACUACGUGCCAGCAGCCGCCGUAA
This 524-nucleotide ribosomal RNA is filed under the name uncultured bacterium. RNAcentral describes it as "partial 16S ribosomal RNA". It matches the Rfam family "Bacterial small subunit ribosomal RNA", at positions 28 to 523 of the family's 1533-position model. The record is from RNAcentral.